AGGUGGUCAUGGCUAAUGGUCUC
Molecule: non-coding RNA, 23 nt
Filed under: Arabidopsis thaliana (thale cress)
Lineage: Eukaryota; Viridiplantae; Streptophyta; Magnoliopsida; Brassicales; Brassicaceae
Source: RNAcentral